Molecule: ribosomal RNA, 223 nt
Filed under: uncultured bacterium
Lineage: Bacteria
Description: partial 16S ribosomal RNA
Rfam family: Bacterial small subunit ribosomal RNA
Source: RNAcentral
UAACACGUGAGCAACCUGCCCCGAAGACCGGGAUAACAGUGGGAAACCGCUGCUAAUACCGGAUGCCCUUCUAUGGUCGCAUGGCCUAAGAAGGAAAUGAAUUUCGCUUCGGGAGGGGCUCGCGGGCUAUCAGCUUGUUGGUGAGGUAACGGCUCACCAAGGCUACGACGGCUAGCUGGUCUGAGAGGACGACCAGCCACACUGGGACUGAGACACGGCCCAG